ACGACUCUCGACAAUGGAUAUCUCGGCUCUCGAAUCGAUGAAGAACGUAGCAAAAUGCCAUACUUGGUAUGAAUUGCAGAAUCCCGUCAGCCAUCGAGUCUUUGAAUGCAAGUUGCGCCCCAAGCCUUCUGGCCGAGGGCACGUCUGCUUGGGUGUCACAAAUCGUCGUCCCCCCAUCCUCUCGAGGAUAUGGGAUGGAAGCUGAUCUCUCAUGUGUUACCGCACGUGUUGGCCAAAAUCCGAGCUAAGGAUGCCAGGAGCGUCUUGACAAGCGGUGGUGAAUUCAAUUCUCGUCAUAUAGUCAGACGUUCCGGUCCAAAACCUCUUGAUGACCCAAAGUCCUCAACGCGACCCCAGGUCAGGCGGGAUCACCUGCUGAGUUUAAGCAUAACAAUAAGUAGAGGAAAAGAAACUAACAAGUAUUCCCUUAGUAACGGAGAGCGAACCGGGAAGAGCCCAGCUUGAAAAUGGACGUCUUUGAUGUUUGAAUUGUAGUCUGGAGAAGGGUCCUCAGUGAUGGACCGGGCCCAAGUUCCCUGGAAAGGGGCGCCAGAGAGGGUGAGAGCCCUGUCGUGCCCGGACCCUGUCGCACCACGAGGCGCUGUCUACGAGUCGGGUUGUUUGGGAAUGCAGCCCAAAUCGGGCGGUAAAUUUCGUCCAAGGCUAUAUAUGGGCGAGAGACGGAUAGCGAACAAGUACCGCGAGGUAAAGAUGAAAAGGACUUUGAAAAGUGAGUCAAAGAGUGCUUGAAAUUGUCGGGAGGGAAGCGGAUGGGGGCUGGCGAUUCAUCCCGGUUGGAUGCGGAACGGAGCAAUCCUGUACGCCGAUCGAUUCGGGCCGUGGACCGACACGGAUUAAGGUGGUGACCUAAGACCGGGCUUUUGUUACGCCCGCGGAGACGUUGCUGCCUUUAUUGUGGUCUGCAGCACGCGCCUCACGGCGUGCCUCAGCAUCUGCAUGCUCAGGGCGUCGGCCUGCGGGCUCCCCAUUCGACCCAUCUUGAAACACGGACCAAGGAGUCUGACAUAUGUGCGAGUCAACGGGUGAGUAAACCUUUAAGGCGCAAGGAAGCUGAUUGGCGGGAUCCCUCACGGGUGCACAGCCAUACGACCUUGAUCUUCUGAGAAGGGUUCGAGUGUGAGCAUGCCUGUCGCGACCCAAAAGAUGGUGAACUAUGCCUGAGCGGGGCAAAGCCAGAGGAAACUCUGGUGGAGGCCCGCAGCAAUACUGACGUGCAAAUAGUUCGUCUGACUUGGGUAUAGGGGCGAAAGACUAAUCGAACCAUCUAGUAGCUGGUUCCCUCAGAAGUUUCCCUCAGGAUAGCUGGAGCUCGGAAACGAGUUCUAUCGAGUAAAGCCAAUGAUUAGAGGCAUCGGGGAUGCAAUGUCCUCGACCUAUUCUCAAACUUUAAAUAGGUAGGACGGGGUGCCUGCUCUGUUGAGCCAUCCCACGGAAUCGAGAGCUGUAAGUGGGCCAUUUUUGGUAAGCAGAACUGGCGAUGCGGGAUGAACUGGAAGCCGGGUUACGGUGCCCAACUGCACGCUAACCUAGAACCCACAAAGGGUGUUGGUCGAUUAAGACAACAGGACGGUGGUCAUUGAAGUUGAAAUCCGCUAAGGAGUGUGUAAUAACUCACAUGCCGAAUCAACUAGCCCCGAAAAUGGAUGGCGCUGAAGCGUACGACCUAUACCCGGCCAUCUGGGCAAGAGCCAGGCCUCGAUGAGUAGGAGGGCGCGGCAGUCGCUGCAAAACCUAGGGCGCGAGCCCGGGCGGAGCGGCCGUCGGUGCAGAUCUUGGUGGUAGUAGCAAAUAUUCAAAUGAGAACUUUGAAGACCGAAGAGGGGAAAGGUUCCAUGUGAAUGGCACUUGCACAUGGGUUAGUUGAUCCUAAGAGUCAGAGGAAACCCGUCUGAUAGCGCUUAUGUGCGAAUUUUUAAAGGGGAUCCGGUUAAAAUUCCAGAACCGGGACGUGGCAGUUGACAGCAAUGUUAGGAAGUCCGGAGACGUCGGCGGGAAUUCCGGAAAGAGUUAUCUUUUCUGUUUAACAGCUUGCCACCCUUGAAACGGCUAAGCCGGAGGUAGGGUCCAGCGGCUGGAAGAGCACCGCACGUCGCGUGGUGUCGGGUGAAUUCCCGGUGGCCCUUGAAAAUCUGGAGGACCGAGUGCCGCUCACGCCCGGUCGUACUCAUAACCGCAUCAGGUCUUGCAACACCCCCCGGUCGUACUCAUAACCGCAUCAGGUCUUGCAACACCCCGAUCCGGCAGACUAAGCCGUGAUCGAAGUCUUACGUCGCUCGGUCUACUUCUUGGCCGAACCUCUUCAUUUUUGCCCUUUAUUUAUAAUAUUGCCUAAAGGCGACGGCUAACUUAUAUCUUAGCUAAAGACUUUCCUAGUCAUUAAUAGCUUAGAUCCUUUCAACAGAUAUGCAGCGGAUUAUUCUCUUGUUAACCAUUGGUCUAAAACCAAUUUAACACUUUUCUGGUUGAAUCACCUUAGCCUUGGUCAGUUUACUCAACUACCAAUUAGCUUAAAGGUCAAUCCUAAACCCAAACCAGUCCAUACGAUUCUGAGGUUCCAUUCCCCUAAACCAUUCUAUCUAAAUCUACAUAAUUAAAAGCUCGAUCAUACCUUUGUCACAUCUAUAGAGCUUAUUAGCUCAUCGGUUCUCCAUUGACUCAAAUUGCUCUUUCUUUAAAGCUGGACCCCAAUCACUCAAUGAUCUUACUUAAGAUCCUUAUCGUGACUCCUGCAUCAAACAACUCCCCUAGGUACUUAGUCAAUCAACCAACCAUCCCCACAGACAUAAGUAACCUUUGAGAUGUCUUUUAAAGGAUAAGGUUUGCAUCUGGCCUUUCUCGGCUCAUGCACAAUCCGAAAUCCUUUUGCCUUAUAGGCGAUUGUACCAAGUCCAUCUUCUGGACUGACAAAGCUCAUUAAAUCCUAAGUCAAUCAACCAACCUUCCUCACAUGACUUGGAACUGAUGAGUCAUCAUAUGGCCUGAUCGGCCUUGGGACUUAACCCAGACAACAUAUAUGAUUUGUUCAUUCCAACCGAUGCAUUCAUUAAUCAGGUUAGGACCGACACCUCGAACCAUCAUUCACAGGUCAGGUCGUCCAUACUCAACCAUGAUCAAAUCUUACACGGCCUUCCUUGAACAAUCACACUUA
Molecule: ribosomal RNA, 3169 nt
Filed under: Brassica rapa (field mustard)
Lineage: Eukaryota; Viridiplantae; Streptophyta; Magnoliopsida; Brassicales; Brassicaceae
Description: eukaryotic LSU rRNA
Rfam family: Eukaryotic large subunit ribosomal RNA (bases 349-2242)
Source: RNAcentral